Molecule: ribosomal RNA, 455 nt
Filed under: uncultured bacterium
Lineage: Bacteria
Description: bacterial SSU rRNA
Rfam family: Bacterial small subunit ribosomal RNA
Source: RNAcentral
UACGGAAGGCAGCAGUGGGGAAUAUUGCACAAUGGGCGCAAGCCUGAUGCAGCCAUGCCGCGUGUAUGAAGAAGGCCUUCGGGUUGUAAAGUACUUUCAGUCGUGAGGAAGGUGUUAAGGUUAAUAACCUUAGCAAUUGACGUUAGCGACAGAAGAAGCACCGGCUAACUCCGUGCCAGCAGCCGCGGUAAUACGGAGGGUGCGAGCGUUAAUCGGAAUUACUGGGCGUAAAGGGCACGCAGGCGGUUAAUUAAGUUGGAUGUGAAAUCCCCGGGCUUAACCUGGGAAUGGCAUUCAAGACUGGUUAGCUAGAGUCUUGUAGAGGGGGUAGAAUUCCAUGUGUAGCGGUGAAAUGCGUAGAGAUGUGGAGGAAUACCGGUGGCGAAGGCGGCCCCUGGGACAAAGACUGACGCUCAUGUGCGAAAGCGUGGGGAGCAAACAGGAUUUUAGAUACC